UUCAGUUCCUUGUCAGCUUCAUUCUAUUAUAAGCCAAUGCCUUGAAAUGGUUUUCAGAAUGAAUAUUUUGGUUCUUCCUUGUUGGGCACAUUGAGGCCCAAGAAAAGCAUGUUCAGUUGUCCUUAAAUGGAAAUAGCUCAAGGUGUUAGGUGCACUACAAAAAUGUUUGGACGCAUAUAGACCAAAGAGCACAAACGCAAUAUGAAUUGUUGAGUGUAAAAUUAAACGUAGCCCAAUUUGACUAAAUAGAGCACAAAUGAUGAAAUCUAGAGUACAAACAAUACUUCCCAACUUUUCAAAAUCAAUUGAGGUAUCAUGUAGGAUACACUAGACAAUUGUUUUCUAGAUGUUAAUGAAUGAGGUCCAAAACGAAUCCUAAGUAUAGCCAAAUGAAAUGUUGUAAUCAGCAUUUUAGAUUGGGCGGGUG
RNAcentral lists this long non-coding RNA (427 nucleotides) under Malus domestica (apple). RNAcentral describes it as "long non-coding RNA (MDOM_LNC006198)". Lineage: Eukaryota; Viridiplantae; Streptophyta; Magnoliopsida; Rosales; Rosaceae. The record is from RNAcentral.